Molecule: ribosomal RNA, 460 nt
Filed under: uncultured bacterium
Lineage: Bacteria
Description: partial 16S ribosomal RNA
Rfam family: Bacterial small subunit ribosomal RNA
Source: RNAcentral
CCUACGGGUGGCAGCAGUGAGGAAUAUUGGUCAAUGGACGAGAGUCUGAACCAGCCAAGUAGCGUGAAGGAUGACUGCCCUAUGGGUUGUAAACUUCUUUUAUAUGGGAAUAAAAUGUUCCACGUGUGGGAUUUUGUAUGUACCAUAUGAAUAAGGAUCGGCUAACUCCGUGCCAGCAGCCGCGGUAAUACGGAGGAUCCGAGCGUUAUCCGGAUUUAUUGGGUUUAAAGGGAGCGUAGGUGGAUUGUUAAGUCAGUUGUGAAAGUUUGCGGCUCAACCAUAAAAUUGCAGUUGAAACUGGCAGUCUUGAGUACAGUAGAGGUGGGCGGAAGUCGUGGUGUAGCGGUGAAAUGCUUAGAUAUCACGAAGAACUCCGAUUGCGAAGGCAGUUCACUGGACUGCAACUGACACUGAGGCUCGAAAGUGUGGGUAUCAAACAGGAUUAGAUACCCUUGUAGUC